AAGGGCACCACAAGAACGCGUGGAGCAUGUGGCUUAAUUUGACUCAACGCGGGAAAUCUUACCGGGUCCGGACACACUGAGGAUUGACAGGCAAUAUUAAUACGUGUUCUUACACGCGUAUUAUGUUAAAUAUGCUAGUCCUUUCAUGAUUAUGUGAUAGGUGGUGCAUGGCCGUUCUUAGUUCGUGGAGUGAUCUGUCUGCUUAAUUGCGUUUCACUAAGGGCCUAUAAAUUUACGUGUGUUGCGGCUCUUUGACCCCUUUCUUUUUUACCGAAGAAAGCGCGCGUCUUAGUUUUGCUUUGCUCACACAAUUAGGUCCUGAAAGCAACGAACGUGACCGCAACCUCUUGUUGCCUUUAUACCAAACAUGUUUGCUAUUUUUAACGAUACGCAUUCAUGAAAAAAGGCUUUUUAAACUAGAGGGACCGCUGUUACUUUCUUAAACCAGAGGAAGGUUGCGGCAAUAACAGGUCUGUGAUGCCCUUAGAUGUUCCGGGCUGCACACGUGCUACAAUGAUUAUUGCAGUGAGCAUCUCAUUUUUACACACCGCAUGCGCGAGUCCAUUUAUUCACUUCGGUGUUUUAAAUGUGUAUCUCUGCGCGCGGUAAAGCCUGCUUCGAAAGUAAGUGGGUAAUCAAUUAGAAGUAAUGAUUUCCUUUUUUUAGCACACAUAUAUACGGCGUCUAUAUCCGGGUUACCUUGUUGUAACUUUUGUGUGUAUAGAUGUUUUUUCCGUAUGUGCGAUUGUCAAUUCAUGGUGGGGACAGACCAUUGUUAAUUGUUGGUCUCGGUCUUAACUAGGAAUGCCUUGUACGGGUCUUUGGUUCAACAAACCACCCGGAAUACGUCCCUGCCCUUUGUACACACCGCCCGUCGCUCUUACCGAUGGACUUCUCUGUGAGUUUGAGGGACUGGGAACGCAGAAUUUUAUUAUUCUACACACCUAUGGAAACUUAAACGAACAGUGUGGUCUAAAGGAAAGAGAAGUCGUAACAAGGCAUCGGUAGGUGAACCUGCAGAAGGAUCA
RNAcentral lists this ribosomal RNA (1028 nucleotides) under Melonis pompilioides. RNAcentral's name for it is "SSU rRNA". It matches the Rfam family "Eukaryotic small subunit ribosomal RNA", at positions 1160 to 1828 of the family's 1831-position model. Lineage: Eukaryota; Foraminifera; Rotaliida; Nonionidae. The record is from RNAcentral.